RNAcentral lists this ribosomal RNA (776 nucleotides) under uncultured Neocallimastigales. RNAcentral's name for it is "partial large subunit ribosomal RNA". It matches the Rfam family "Eukaryotic large subunit ribosomal RNA", at positions 18 to 644 of the family's 3401-position model. The record is from RNAcentral. Lineage: Eukaryota; Fungi; Neocallimastigomycota; Neocallimastigomycetes; Neocallimastigales.
UCAGACGAUGCGUCAUGCAUAUCAAUAAGCGGAGGAAAAGAAACUAACAAGGAUUCCCCUAGUAACGGCGAGUGAAGCGGGAAGAGCUCAAAUUUGAAAUCUUAAAGGGUUUCCCUUUACGAAUUGUAGUUUAAAGAAGUGUUUUCUGUUGAGGUUUUGGUAAAAGUUCUUUGGAAUAGGACAUCAUAGAGGGUGAGAAUCCCGUAUUUGACCUUUACUUUCAACUUUGUGAUACACUUUCGAAAGAGUCGGAUCGUUUGGGAAUGCAGUCCAAAAUGGGUGGUAAAUUUCAUCUAAAGCUAAAUAUUGGCGAGAGACCGAUAGCGAACAAGUACCGUGAGGGAAAGAUGAAAAGAACUUUGAAAAGAGAGUUAAACAGUACGUGAAAUUGUCAAAAGGGAAGCGUUUGACACCAGUGUUGUUUUUCUGAAAAUCAAUUAAAGAACUGUUUAUGCUAAGUUGUUUAGACUUUAUCAGCUAUCUGUUUAGUUUUGAGCUUUUCUUUAAUGCACUUUUCAGUUAACAAGUCAACAUCAAUUUCCUUUUGCUGUAAAAAAGCUUGAGGAAGGUGGCUUGAGAUUCGUCUUAAGUGUUUAUAGCCUCUUGCCUAUGCAGUCGGAGAGAUUGAGGUCUGCAGCGUAGAUCCUUCGGGGCUAAAUGCAUUUGUGCUAAGUUAUAGCAUUUUAUAGACAACUUGUUGACUAUGAUUUGUCUUGUAGCUUACUCGCUUAUGUUAUUUUACCUACGCUUAGGAUGUUGAAUCUGUGCGAGACUAC